AAAGUAACUCCGCCUGUAGCUCUUCUGGAGUUACUGCCGGUCCCAAGCCCGGGUAAAGGAGGAAAGUUGA
This 70-nucleotide non-coding RNA is filed under the name Schistosoma mansoni. The record is from RNAcentral. Lineage: Eukaryota; Metazoa; Platyhelminthes; Trematoda; Strigeidida; Schistosomatidae.